CAGCCGCCGCGGGAAUACGUAGGUGGCAAGCGUUGUCCGGAAUUAUUGGGCGUAAAGCGCGCGCAGGCGGAUCAGUCAGUCUGUCUUAAAAGUUCGGGGCUUAACCCCGUGAUGGGAUGGAAACUGCUGAUCUAGAGUAUCGGAGAGGAAAGUGGAAUUCCUAGUGUAGCGGUGAAAUGCGUAGAUAUUAGGAAGAACACCAGUGGCGAAGGCGACUUCCUGGACGAAAACUGACGCUGAGGCGCGAAAGCCAGGGGAGCGAACGGGAUUAGAUACCCCAGUAGUCCCUGUCUCUUAUACA
This 301-nucleotide ribosomal RNA is filed under the name uncultured bacterium. RNAcentral describes it as "partial 16S ribosomal RNA". It matches the Rfam family "Bacterial small subunit ribosomal RNA", at positions 509 to 809 of the family's 1533-position model. The record is from RNAcentral.